GGAUGCCUACGGUGCAGGAGUGAGGUGGGGUUGGGGGACUGGAGGGGCCGGGCCCUAGCAGCCGGGAGCCACAGCCGGGAGUACCUGCCAUUCUGACACCGCCACCAAGCCUGGCUAUGAGGAUGGCCACAACGUCCCAUCCCCAGCAUCUUCCCUGCAGUGGUGGUUUGUUCACCACCUGGGCACGUUCUCCACACACCACGUGGCCCUGGGCCUCGGCUGUGAGGCCUCUUUCCCACUCAACCCCGUAUCUUUAGGGAAGGCUAUGAUGAUAGGAACGUCACCACAUGACAAGAAUAAAGGCUGCACCAUCAUCCCCAGUGGGGGCGGACAAGGUAUUUGACAAAAUGCAAUCUCUCUUCAGAGGCAUGGAAGGGGCCGUACCUCAUCUGAGAAAGGGCAUCUAGGAAGCCUGCAGCUAACUAACAGCACACCCAACGGGAGGCCGAGCACCAUGCCAGCUCGGGAGCAAGGCAGGCAUCUCAGCAGCAUCCCAGACCACAGAAUAAGGCACAAAAAGACGCAAGGUGCAAAUAUAGGACAGAAGGCCAACGUUCCUCCAGCCAAUCGAUAGCUUCGACUCCAGCCCAGACAGAAACCGGCAGCUGACUGCACGAUGAAUGUGGCAUCAGGAGGGGCCAAAACUACCCUGGGAAGAGCCAAACAGGAGGCUCAGCAGACCAUGAACCCUUGUCCCAGCAUGUCUUGCCCGACUGCCCCUUCCCCAAGGACCAGCAGCCGGACACGGCCCCUCCUGCCUUACAGCCGCAGCCCCUGCCCCCGCUCCUCCCAGCUCUCGGCACCGCUGUGGGGACUCAGCCCCACUUGGUGGGGGCAGGGACACUCCUGCACCUGUGUCAUCUCUGACAAGGUUUCCCUGUGCCACCCUGGGAAACGGCUCCCUCCUCAACAUCUGAAAUUUCCAUCUCUAGUCACGACAUAAGCAUUGGUUUCAUCACCCCAGCGUUCCUCAUCUACUUUCUGACAAUAAACUGAAAUCAGAUUCUCUUGAGCCAGGGCCGUGCCGACGGCUACUUCCCCAUGGUGGCUGAAGGGGACCUUAUGGUCUCCUCAAACACCAGCAACAGCCCUGGGGAGGUGCCAAAAAGCAAAAAGUCCUGGGCACGUGUUCAAGAGCUCAGCCACGCUGGCUGACUGCCCAUCAGGACAGUGCCUUGUCGGUCACCCAUGUGCAGGCUCCAGUCACUUUACGACACAAGGCUAGUGUUCAGCUGUCCAGCUUUCAAGAAAACUCUGCCAGACAGCGCUGUGAGCUGCACACGCCCAGAGGUGCCCACACUCACCGGGAGAGCCGUACUCGUGCCGUGGCAGGCGGCAGAUUUUGGGCAUCACCUCCAUCAGUGUCUUCACGUACUGCAGGAUUGUGCCUUGCAGCUGCGGGGGGACAAGACAGGCUGCGUCAGUCACUCCACUCCACUCUGCUAAUGCCUGUGGCCAGCACACGCCCUGAAACAAGUCUGUUAGCAAAGAGCUUGGUAACGAGGAGGCUGCAGGAUCACCUGGCAGGGGAAAGAAGCCCACCCGUGGAGAGAGAGCAGCCGUCCCCAGGUGGCUUCCCGUGGCUGGAUUCAUGUUCCGAAACCGGACUCCCCUUUCAAGAGGAAAGUGGUCCCGCGGUGCUGCAGUGAGAGCAGAGCUUUGUUGCCAGGGGCCUCCUACAGGGAUGCACCCCAGCAUGGUGAGCACUGCCAGCUCCAGGGUCCCCCAGGACGCCAUCUGUGCUCCUGCGUGCGGCCCCAGGCUCAGCUGUGGUGAGGUCCGCAAUCCUGACACCCUCCAAGCUGCCACAUGUUUUGGCGGAGUCCCCGGCGGGUCCUGGAAGGACCUGUUUGGGUCACGGGGUAAUGGCUGCGCCAAGUGACCAAACUCUUACGUGGUCUCAGUCACAGAAGAUUGUUAAAAUAAUAAAAAGGAUGAAAAAGUAUAAAAAGUAAGUUAUGUAUAGAAAACUAAAUCCAGGCUGACCAAGGUGGCUCACACCUGUAAUUCCAGCACUUUGGGAGGCCAAGAUGGGCAGAUCUCUGGAGCCCAGGAGUUCAAGGCCAGCCUGGGCAACAUAGCAAGACCCCAUCUCUAUACAUACAAAUAAAAACUCGAUGUAUCCGUUAAAAUAACCUGGACCCAUUCUUUUAAGUUUGAAAAGAUGAGGGAGGUAUCAAAUUAUAUAUGGUCAGAAGUGUUUGAAUUGAAUAGUAAUUCAGUGAUUCAUUCAAUUCAUUCAUUCAAGUAAUUGAAUGAAUCCAGCUGUUGGAGGAUCACAGUCCAGGCAGAGAAGACCCUCUGGCUUGGGUGCCCCAGGGAAUUCAGGCUGUGAGAAGGAAGCGUGUCCAGGGAACACUCACCAGGCUCUUGACGACCUUCAGCAGCUCCUCCAUGACCACGGCGAUACCCUGGUAGCCGAGGAGCCGGCAGAUGACUUGAAAGUGUGGAGGUCCCACGAAGUUCCGGUAGCUGCCGUAAAUGCUGGAGUAGGCCAAGUUCAAAGCCUGGAAAACAGGGCACAGAGCUCUCAGCAUGGCCUCUGCACACAUGUGCAGAUGAAGAAUUGCAUGAGAAGAUCAUUCAACACACACAGGCUCAGGUGAAGGGGUCCGAGUGUGCUGACUUGUAAAAUCUACUGCCCUUAACUGGUACAAUUAUAAAACCCACUCAGCCUGCCACCAAAAAGAACCUGCUAAAAUAGAAAAAGAAAACAAAACCA
Long non-coding RNA from Rhinopithecus roxellana (golden snub-nosed monkey), 2722 nucleotides. RefSeq lists it as uncharacterized. The transcript has 2 exons. The record is from RefSeq and is a predicted model, not a curated record. Lineage: Eukaryota; Metazoa; Chordata; Mammalia; Primates; Cercopithecidae.